AGGUAAGCUACUAAGAGCGAAUGGUGGAUGCCUUGACUGGUAAAGGCGAUGAAGGACGUACUAGACUGCGAUAAGCUACGGGGAGCUGUCAAGAAGCUUUGA
Molecule: ribosomal RNA, 102 nt
Filed under: Campylobacter coli
Lineage: Bacteria; Pseudomonadati; Campylobacterota; Epsilonproteobacteria; Campylobacterales; Campylobacteraceae
Also listed under: 1 other name
Description: partial 23S ribosomal RNA
Rfam family: Bacterial large subunit ribosomal RNA
Source: RNAcentral